CAGGAUAUAGCCAACGGCCGUUGUAUGGAAUAUACCUGCAAGUGGAAAAGACAGGAAGAUAAUGUCGAUCAGUUGCAGUUCUUAAAUGUAUUGCAUUACUCAGUGUGUAUUGUAAGCCCAUCAAAUCGACCAUAGACAUUGAUUUCAGACUUACAACAAUGUAAACAUAAACACAUUCGUCUAUCAAAUUAAGGUGGCUAUCUGCCUCGACAGCAUAAAGUAUUCAUCGUUUUCAAUCAAAGAAGAUUGGCGAACGGAGACAGAAAAUUACCAUCAAGUGUCUCUGCAUAAUGACAAAUAUUCUGCGAGAUCUUAAUUAAUUGCGACAGGUCACCUCUGUCUUCGAUGCAGUACCCCAGCGUCGUGACUGGAAUUUCGAAAGGUGUUUUGUGGCUCAAUUCAUCGCCAUCUCUCGCACUAGAAUGAAAUUGAAGGCAAGUGCGCAUGUCCAGUUGCUCCAUUGGAAAAGUACUGCUAAUUUGUGUACCUUUCAGACCUGAUCUUUGUGUUGGGGGGGGGGUAGUCAUGAUGUAAGCCCUGUCGGAAACUGGUAAUCUUUUCGGAUCUAUCGAUUCUGCCACCUGUAGACCCCGUCCAGUCAGCAAGCAAAGUGCCUCGCAACAAUUUGCCGUCAUAUUUUUUCUUGGUUGUUUCUUCUCAUUCUGGCAGGCAGCAAAUUAAAUUUUGGCAAACCUCCAUUAACCAACCUCCACAACAAUCAUUGUAUAGUGCCGAUCUAAAGCUAUGAGAGUUUGGAGCUGUAGCUUGACUUUUGACAGCCACGGCAACAUGCGUAUACAAAUUCCUUUAAUCAAUCAAGUUAAUUUAUUUUCGCUGUUUCUGUCUUUCUUCUUUGUGUCUUACAAUUGCCAACCAGCGAACAGUCAGAGCCAGGGUCAGUCCCCAGUCCCAAGAAUGGCUUUUAUCGCUCAGAACAUUAGUGCGAGCUCCAGCGAAUGAACUCCAGUGCCCAUGGUAAUAGUAUCCAACGGAUAUGCGGCCAAACAAAAGUCCCAAGAAUGCGGAUGUCUUGGCCAGGCCUGGGCUCUGGUCUCUUGGCCGGGCUAUUGCAUAGCUCAUAGCUCGCUCUAUUCACCAUUUAAGCAGUGACUGACUGGUCUGCGCAUUGUUUGAUUGCUUUGGGGUGAAGAAGGAGGAGGAUCGAUUCAUGCUCAAAAUGCUUACAAUGAUGUGCCUUUGUGUCUUCAUUUCCGAGUUCCCACUCGGCGUUCGACUCGUUCUGGUUUCGACUGUUAUUUUGGCUUGAGCAGACGAGUGCAAUUUUCAUAAUAAUAGACAUUAACGAAUGCCCCAAUGGGUAAAGCUCCCCUGACCUUGUUUGUCAUAUGGAUAGGCUUGGCGUUGGCUCGAUCCGAAGUGACAUUUAUCGAGCCAUAAAUAACGCAGAUCUGGUAUCGAGAGUUCUCAUUCAGAUUCGAUUUUGGAUGGUACUUUGAUUGUUGUCGGCUUAGCCAAAUUCCGAGACUUGGCCUUGACAUUGGGCUUUUGUCAACAUACAGACGCUGAAUAGUGUGUGUGUGUGAAUACGUCAACAUAUUAACUAUAUGAUGGGGUUGGGACACACACUCCAUGCCCCUCCAAGCCAUUCUGUGCAAAAGCCUUGGCCCUGGAUUGCAUCCAAACCAUCAGUGCGUGCGUGUAAAUCUCGUUAUCCACGAGCACAUACCUCCAUAUACAUAUUUCUAGUUCAAAGUCAAGGCGGCAUACGCACCGAGACCAGACCACACCAAAACCGGACAUUGGACAUCGGACCACAGACGUGACUUCGGUUUGCUUUGCUUCGGUUCUUUCGCUUUCUUCGGCAAGGUCAGCGGUGUUGCGUUUCGCGUAUCGAGUACACCCCUGUGUGGGCGUUCGAAAUCGAAUAUUUCAUUCGGCUUGCAAUUGAAGUAGAAUUGUUUGAAGCAUUAAACUGAAACUAAAGUGCAUUUAAUUAUUGCCUCAGCCGCUACGCUACCCGCUCAGUGCCAACUAUUGAUGCAUUUUCAAAUGGGUUUUACUGUACUUUGGAGGGCACUGCUGCGAGUGGAAAGCCGCGAGCGCAACUGACCUCACGCCCCACCUCAUGCCACACGCAAUGCCAAAUUAGCCUCUCUGUUCGGGAGAAUGUUGCAACGCUGAUAUGACAGCAUCGACCCCUGUUCGCUUAUGUUCGUGACAAGAUUAGACCAAGAACAGGCCGCGACUGCAACCGCGACGGGAGACUGCGGUCAGGCUUGGCUGCUUGCACUCGACUCUCGAGUCGAGUCGAGUCGAAAACUGGACACGGACGUGACUAAUGUGUGAAUAUCUGAUAGUCAAGCGCUCUUAAAAACAUAGCUACGUGAAUGUGGGCGUGCCAUGGGGACCACAGCCAUUCGUUAUCUAAGAGAAAUCUUUGGGUCGGGAAUGAAAUGGUCUAAAUGGUCUAAAAGGUAACUACUACAAGUACUUAUAUUCUCAUUUGCUACCGGUAAACUUUCCAGCCCAGCGUCAGCUUUAGGUCUAGAUUUUAAUAGGCCUCUUAAAUCGGCUAUGAAAAGCACUUUGAACAGAUGACAAGACAAAUGGCUGGCACUCAAGCAUGCCCAUUCCAUUACUUACACACAAUACUACUCGGUACAAUUGUAUUAACUUGUCUAAAAAUGCGGUUUAACAGCGCUUGCACUUGCACCCGCACUAUCCCCGGUGUCGUGUCGGCUGUAACCGCUGUCAAGGUUAACUUGGCUUUUAUGAAUGUCUUAUAGACAGAGAGAGAGAGGGAGGGAGGGGCGACGGCAGGCAGAGGCACUGGCACUAGCGCUGGCCAGAUGGUGGCUUGGCAUGCAGCUAGAUUCUUUGACACUAUUCAUAAUGAACUGCGAAUAAAUAAUCUUAAUUAAAUGCCCAGACCAGACCGGGUCCGGACCAGGCAGGUGUCUCUAUUCUUGAUUCUCCUCCCAUUUGCAAUUAGCAGCCACUUAGCCACCGCUGUAGGCAAAUAUCUUUAGGGCCAAUUAGGCUUGCGUGCCGCUGCAGCAGCAACAACAACAGCUGCCACUCGUUGCUGACCCUGGCACUUGUGGCACUCUUAAGAUCGUUAAACACUUUGAAACGCAACGCCACUUGUAUUCCGAUUACGUUACGGAUUUUGAUUUAUGCAUAACAAAGUUAAGCGGCUAAUUGGGCUUCCAGAUGGAUGAAGAUGAAGCCAUCAGGUCGCUAAGUGCCGACCAUGUCACAUGGUUUGUCUGCCACCCCCCGACCAACCAUUAUGGCCAAAGUGUUAACCACGGCUGACGCCGCCGAACCAAACAUGUGCCGGAUGUUUGUGUAUAUGUAGAUCAAGCUUGCACAAGAAGAGAGCGAGAGACACUUAAAGACGACUUGUACAACAAGAGAUGGUCAACAAAAUCAAACACGAGAGAUCAAUCAUGCUCGUCAUUGGGGGAAAGUAAUCGCUGGGAAAAAACCAUACCUACCCCAACACCCUUUAAUAUGGUAAUUAAUAAUAUCUCAUUGUAGGAAAGUACCGGCAUGGUACAGGCCACCGGACGGAUCGAAGAUUAAGGAUACCAACGAUUCUAAUUAGAAGGUCGAUUGCGAAUGGACUGAGUAUAGGAUGCCUCAUGCCUCAUAAAUGCACAUUUUACAGUUGUGUACCUCUAGCUCAGUGUCGUUUUUACUUUUCUCGGAAUUGAGGAAGUUUGGUCGUUGUUGGCUAAAUCUUAGCCAUUUAUCCACAGAUUUUAUAAACGACACCUUAAACGAUGCCUUAUUAAUACAAUUAUACAAAUAAAAAACAAAUUAAAAAAGUUUUUUCGGUGUUUUUCAUAGUUUUUAAAGUCUUUUUUGAAUGUAAAAAAUUAUACAUUUUUCAUUUGAAAGCUAUAUUUUCCAGAUGGUAAGCUGAAGCUCACAAUUUUUCGGAUCCAAUUAAUAGCUGCGUUUAUCAGCUUUUCAGAAUGGCAAACCAAAAGUAGGAUACUUAAGUUAUGUGGCAAUAGAAGCACUAACUCUAUAAAAAAUAUUUCGAAAUAGAAAUGCUGUUGCAUCAUGGUGUUAUUUAUAUGAAGAAUCAGAAUAGUUUCGGGGAGUAGAUCAGACAAGAACCACUUGUGUUUUUUUGAUGACCAAAGAUCAACUAGAGGCAUGAAAAUAAAUCAGUACUACGACUCAGCUCAUCCAGGUGUCUCGCCCAACCAGAUCUGAAUGAAUACCAAAACGCUGCAGCUGAAGCAGCGUCAGGGGGUAUCCCGUAUGCAAAUAUAAGAUUGCGGUGCCCACGUAGUGCCCGGCAACAGUUGCCCCACUAAGGGUAUUGCUGUGUGCUGCAUUGGAACUACUAAUCCGGCAUUUGCAUAAAUCAAUACACUCGUCUUGGCUAGAACCGGGUGGACAGAAUAGACCGGCUGACCAUAGAAACAAACGCCGUUCAGAGUGCAGUGGCAGCAACAACAAACGCUAAUCAUCGUCUUGGCAAAUAUAUUAUUGUGUCUCGGACAUUCUGCUUUGCUUUUGUGUUGAGCACAGCUUUCGAGUGGGUUCUGAAAAACGACCGGGUGCCGGACGGCGGACUGUAUAACCCGAAUUACGGGUAAUUACGUCGUCGCUGUCGCUUGUUCGACAAACGCAAAUUGAGCAGAGCAGACGAGACCAGACGAAUGGGGAGAUCCGAAUAUAAAGAUACAGAUACCAGAUGCAAGGAUGAUAUCUCAUUAUUACACACCUCGUACUGACUCAGCGACAUUCCACGCGGAUUGUGAUCUUCGUGACUGCCCCCACAACAAUAUGACCUGCCCCACCCCUUGCUUGGCGAGGGGGCAUCAAAAGACGCCCACCUGCAAAUUAUGAGGGACUUUGGGAUCUCGCUUCGAUGUGGGAACACGAUUCAGAUUCGUUGUCGCUGUCGUUCGACUAAAUUGAAAUUGAAAUUGAAAUUAAAACUCAAAUUAAAUGAUUGCCAGAUUCUUAGCUUAAUAAAUUCCUAUUUAAAUUGUGCCUUCAACUUUUUGAGAUAAUGC
Molecule: small RNA, 5003 nt
Filed under: Drosophila pseudoobscura pseudoobscura
Lineage: Eukaryota; Metazoa; Arthropoda; Insecta; Diptera; Drosophilidae
Description: GA32264
Source: RNAcentral